CAAUAGCGUAUAUUAAAGUUGUUGCAGUUAAAAAGCUCGUAGUUGGAUUUGUGGCUUUCGUUUGAUGCGCGGCACAAUGUGCUGUCGUUUUCGGACGUUGCCAUCCUUGGGUGGAUCCUGUGUGGCAUUAGGUUGUCGUGCAGGGGAUGCCCAUCUUUUACUGUGAGAAAAUUAGAGUGUUCAAAGCAGGCUUAUGCCGUUGAAUAUAUUAGCAUGGAAUAAUAAGAUAGGACCUUGGUACUAUUUUGUUGGUUUGCGCACCAAGGUAAUGAUUAAUAGGGUCAGUUGGGGGUAUUCGUAUUCCAUUGUCAGAGGUGAAAUUCUUGGAUUUUUGGAAGACGAACUACUGCGAAAGCAUUUACCAAGGAUGUUUUCAUUAA
This 380-nucleotide ribosomal RNA is filed under the name uncultured eukaryote. RNAcentral describes it as "partial 18S ribosomal RNA". It matches the Rfam family "Eukaryotic small subunit ribosomal RNA", at positions 592 to 976 of the family's 1831-position model. The record is from RNAcentral.